Molecule: long non-coding RNA, 1433 nt
Filed under: Homo sapiens (human)
Lineage: Eukaryota; Metazoa; Chordata; Mammalia; Primates; Hominidae
Description: HSALNT0399339
Source: RNAcentral
AGAUCUCUCUCUCUGCGGAAGCCAGCCACCGCUCUCCAAGGACUCUCGAGCAGCUCCAUCUACAGAUUCACAUGGAGAAGAAUUAAGGGUUCCUGCCAAUCACCAGCACCACUUUGCCAGCCUUGUAAGUGGGCCACCUUGGAAUUGGAGCCUCCAGUUCCUACUGACAUCUGACUGCAACAUCAUGAGAGACCCUGAGUUUGAACCACCCAGCUGAGCUGCUUCUGAGCUAACCCACUGAAACCACAGUUGGCAUCUGUGUGAAGAUGUGAAUGGAGGAGGCAGAGUAGGCAGUGAGUGCCGCAGCCACAGCUUGUGUUCUCUGCAGCCCUGGCACAGAAGAUAGGAACACUCAUGGGGGAUGCGGCCACUGUGAUGUCUUCCCACACAAGAAGUGCCAAGUGCUUUUCUCAUGCUUUUCUGGAUUGUCCCAUGGUGGACGAGUCAGCAGGAGUGAGAUGGAGCAGCACAGUAGAGGGCACCUGCUCUGUUUUGUCCCAGGCCAGGAUAUCGUUGUACAUAUUCUCAGCUAAGUGAGCACCAAUAGAGGAGAGGGAGAGUCUCAUGGAAGUUCCUUCUAAGCCUUUGGCUCUUUUUACCUUCAACAAGGUGUGCCACCUCUUUGAUCCAGCAAGUGGGAAGAACAGUCCCGGCCUCUUUGCACACAAGACCGUGAUACCAAUGCACCAUCACAGGCCCCACAGGGGAGCUGUCCGCUUCCCCACACAGCUGCUAGGGGCUCUUUUGCAUGUUCCCAACCUUUCCUGCCUUUAUCUGAUAUUCGUUCCUUAGAUCCUGGGAUGAGGAGGUGGACCAGCAGAAGGUGGGCUUGUGAAGGCAGCCCGGGGUCCAAAUCCUCCUGGCUCUUCAGCUUAGCGGGUUAGUUAACAUUCAGAAGCCUUCAUCUCCCAUCUGCAAAAUGGGCAUGUCCAACUCAGAAGCUGCCUUGAAGAAAGGGUCUACCCAGCAUGGUGCGUGGAGCCUAAGCAGUCAGUACUUCAGGACUUCACCCGGCCCCUUUCCAAUAACUGCUGCUGUCGCCCUCACAGGAUGUCACCUUCAGCGUCUGAAAGCUGGGUUUGAUGCGUCUGGAAAGGCGUCCCUGACAGGCGUCGUUGCCAGGAGCCCCUAGUGCCACCAGCAGCCAGCAGGGGAGGGCGUCCUCUGCCCGCUCACUUCUGACCCUUCUCUCGUUGCACCCGGAACAUGGUGCAGCUGGGAGCAGCCUGGGCUGCGCGGAAGGCUCAGAUUUGGGGACGGCCCUUGCCAGUGACUGUGAGCUGGGGUGUCUUGGAAACUCCCAGUCUCAGCUUCUCCAUUUAUAAGAUGAGAAUGAUCAUACCAGACUCAGGCAAGGUUGUUUGUGCAUUAGUGAAAUCAGACGUAUUAAAUAAAGUACCACAUUGAUCGUGGAGUUGUUGAAUAACCAAGAA